RNAcentral lists this small nuclear RNA (281 nucleotides) under Erinaceus europaeus (western European hedgehog). RNAcentral describes it as "7SK RNA". It matches the Rfam family "7SK RNA". Rfam says of the family: 7SK was discovered as an abundant small nuclear RNA in the mid-70s but a possible function has only recently been suggested. Two independent studies have found that 7SK RNA binds the CDK9/cyclin T complex (known as elongation factor P-TEFb). Lineage: Eukaryota; Metazoa; Chordata; Mammalia; Eulipotyphla; Erinaceidae. The record is from Rfam by way of RNAcentral.
GGAUGUGAGGGCGAUCUGACUGCGACAUCUGUUACCCCAUUGAUCUCCAGGGUUGAUUCGGCUGAUCUGGCUGGCUAGGCGGGUGUCCCCUUCCUCCCUCACUGCUCCAUGUUCGUCCCUCCCCAAGCUGAGUGCUCUGUCAAAGAGAACAAACAGCCUUCCGGAAUAGAAAUGGACAGUCGAGGGUAUAGGAGUAGCUGCGCUCCCCUGCUAGAACCUCCAAACAAGCUCCCAAGUUGUACAUAUGAAAAAGCUAAUGCACUCUCCAAAUGAGCUCUAUU